GGAAUCUUCCACAAUGGACGAAAGUCUGAUGGAGCAACGCCGCGUGAGUGAAGAAGGUUUUCGGAUCGUAAAACUCUGUUGUUGGAGAAGAACACGUUUGAGAGUAACUGUUCAGACGUUGACGGUAUCCAACCAGAAAGCCACGGCUAACUACGUGCCAGCAGCCGCGGUAAUACGUAGGUGGCAAGCGUUAUCCGGAUUUAUUGGGCGUAAAGCGAGCGCAGGCGGUUUCUUAAGUCUGAUGUGAAAGCCUUCGGCUUAACCGAAGAAGUGCAUCGGAAACUGGGAAACUUGAGUGCAGAAGAGGACAGUGGAACUCCAUGUGUAGCGGUGAAAUGCGUAGAUAUAUGGAAGAACACCAGUGGCGAAGGCGGCUGUCUGGUCUGUAACUGACGCUGAGGCUCGAAAGCAUGGGUAGCGAACA
Molecule: ribosomal RNA, 424 nt
Filed under: uncultured Lactobacillus sp.
Lineage: Bacteria; Bacillati; Bacillota; Bacilli; Lactobacillales; Lactobacillaceae
Description: bacterial SSU rRNA
Rfam family: Bacterial small subunit ribosomal RNA
Source: RNAcentral